RNAcentral lists this ribosomal RNA (253 nucleotides) under uncultured bacterium. RNAcentral describes it as "partial 16S ribosomal RNA". It matches the Rfam family "Bacterial small subunit ribosomal RNA", at positions 524 to 776 of the family's 1533-position model. The record is from RNAcentral.
UACGUAGGUGAUCAGCGUUGUCCGGAUUUACUGGGCGUAAAGAGCGCGCAGGCGGUCGUUCAAGUCGAGUGUGAAAGCCCCCGGCUCAACUGGGGAGGGUCAUUCGAUACUGAUCGACUUGAAGGCAGGAGAGGGAAGUGGAAUUCCCGGUGUAGUGGUGAAAUGCGUAGAUAUCGGGAGGAACACCUGUGGCGAAAGCGGCUCACUGGACAGUAACUGACGCUGAUGCACGAAAGCUAGGGGAGCAAACAGG